GCACGGGUGCGUAACGCGUAUACAAUCUACCUUUUACAGGGGGAUAGCCCAGAGAAAUUUGGAUUAAUAUCCCAUAGUAUUAUUUAUUGGCAUCGAUUAAUAAUUAAAGCUUCGGCGGUAAAAGAUGAGUAUGCGUUCUAUUAGCUAGUAGGUGUGGUAACGGCACACCUAGGCAACGAUAGAUAGGGGCCCUGAGAGGGGGAUCCCCCACACUGGUACUGAGACACGGACCAGACUCCUACGGGAGGCAGCAGUGAGGAAUAUUGGACAAUGGGCGAGAGCCUGAUCCAGCCAUGCCGCGUGCAGGAUGACUGCCCUAUGGGUUGUAAACUGCUUUUAUACAGGAAGAAACGGCUUUACGUGUAGAGCUCUGACGGUACUGUAAGAAUAAGGAUCGGCUAACUCCGUGCCAGCAGCCGCGGUAAUACGGAGGAUCCAAGCGUUAUCCGGAAUCAUUGGGUUUAAAGGGUCCGUAGGUGGAUAAUUAAGUCAGAGGUGAAAUCCUGCAGCUCAACUGUAGAAUUGCCUUUGAUACUGGUUAGCUUGAGUUACUAUGAAGUAAUUAGAAUAUGUAGUGUAGCGGUGAAAUGCAUAGAUAUUACAGAGAAUACCAAUUGCGAAGGCAGAUUACUAAGAGGACACUGACACUGAUGGACGAAAGCGUGGGGAGCGAACGGGAUUAGAGACCCCGGGAGUCCACGCCGUAAACGAUGGUCACUAGCUGUUCGG
RNAcentral lists this ribosomal RNA (729 nucleotides) under uncultured Bacteroidota bacterium. RNAcentral's name for it is "bacterial SSU rRNA". It matches the Rfam family "Bacterial small subunit ribosomal RNA", at positions 100 to 827 of the family's 1533-position model. Lineage: Bacteria; Pseudomonadati; Bacteroidota. The record is from RNAcentral.